AGUGAACGCUGGCGGUAGGCCUAACACAUGCAAGUCGAACGGCAGCACAGUAAGAGCUUGCUCUUACGGGUGGCGAGUGGCGGACGGGUGAGGAAUACAUCGGAAUCUACUUUUUCGUGGGGGAUAACGUAGGGAAACUUACGCUAAUACCGCAUACGACCUACGGGUGAAAGCAGGGGAUCUUCGGACCUUGCGCGAUUGAAUGAGCCGAUGUCGGACUAGCUAGUUGGCGGGGUAAAGGCCCACCAAGGCGACGAUCCGUAGCUGGUCUGAGAGGAUGGUCGGCCACACGGGAACGGAGACACGGUCCAGACUCCUACGGGAGGCAGCAGUGGGGAAUAUUGGACAAUGGGCGCAAGCCUGAUCCAGCCAUACCGCGUGGGUGAAGAAGGCCUUCGGGUUGUAAAGCCCUUUUGUUGGGAAAGAAAAGCAGCAGGUUAAUACCCCGCUGUUCUGACGGUACCCAAAGAAUAAGCACCGGCUAACUUCGUG
This 492-nucleotide ribosomal RNA is filed under the name uncultured bacterium. RNAcentral's name for it is "partial 16S ribosomal RNA". It matches the Rfam family "Bacterial small subunit ribosomal RNA", at positions 29 to 507 of the family's 1533-position model. The record is from RNAcentral.